Helianthus annuus (common sunflower) is the source of this 115-nucleotide non-coding RNA. NCBI's taxonomy places the organism in Eukaryota, Viridiplantae, Streptophyta, Magnoliopsida, Asterales, Asteraceae. The record is from Rfam.
CAACGCGUUUUGGGUGCAUCGGUUGUGGAUCUCAUAAGAACUCCACAAUUAAAUGUAUUCGACUGAAAGUAUUACCAAGAUGGGUGACCUCCUACAAAGUCUCCACUCACGUAAC